Molecule: ribosomal RNA, 637 nt
Filed under: Bacillus cereus group sp. N8
Lineage: Bacteria; Bacillati; Bacillota; Bacilli; Caryophanales; Bacillaceae
Description: partial 23S ribosomal RNA
Rfam family: Bacterial large subunit ribosomal RNA
Source: RNAcentral
CCUAAAGUGUAACGGAGGCGCCCAAAGGUUCCCUCAGAAUGGUUGGAAAUCAUUCGUAGAGUGCAAAGGCAUAAGGGAGCUUGACUGCGAGACCUACAAGUCGAGCAGGGACGAAAGUCGGGCUUAGUGAUCCGGUGGUUCCGCAUGGAAGGGCCAUCGCUCAACGGAUAAAAGCUACCCCGGGGAUAACAGGCUUAUCUCCCCCAAGAGUCCACAUCGACGGGGAGGUUUGGCACCUCGAUGUCGGCUCAUCGCAUCCUGGGGCUGUAGUCGGUCCCAAGGGUUGGGCUGUUCGCCCAUUAAAGCGGUACGCGAGCUGGGUUCAGAACGUCGUGAGACAGUUCGGUCCCUAUCCGUCGUGGGCGUAGGAAAUUUGAGAGGAGCUGUCCUUAGUACGAGAGGACCGGGAUGGACGCACCGCUGGUGUACCAGUUGUUCUGCCAAGGGCAUAGCUGGGUAGCUAUGUGCGGAAGGGAUAAGUGCUGAAAGCAUCUAAGCAUGAAGCCCCCCUCAAGAUGAGAUUUCCCAUAGCGUAAGCUAGUAAGAUCCCUGAAAGAUGAUCAGGUUGAUAGGUUCGAGGUGGAAGCAUGGUGACAUGUGGAGCUGACGAAUACUAAUAGAUCGAGGACUUAACCAU